RNAcentral lists this ribosomal RNA (495 nucleotides) under uncultured bacterium. RNAcentral describes it as "bacterial SSU rRNA". It matches the Rfam family "Bacterial small subunit ribosomal RNA", at positions 68 to 556 of the family's 1533-position model. The record is from RNAcentral.
ACAUAAAGAAGCUUGCUUCUUUGAUGACGAGUGGCGGACGGGUGAGUAAUGCUUGGGAAUCUAGCUUAUGGAGGGGGAUAACUACGGGAAACUGUAGCUAAUACCGCGUAAUAUCGAAAGAUUAAAGUGUGGGACCUUCGGGCCACAUGCCAUAGGAUGAGCCCAAGUGGGAUUAGGUAGUUGGUGAGGUAAAGGCUCACCAAGCCGACGAUCUCUAGCUGGUCUGAGAGGAUGACCAGCCACACUGGGACUGAGACACGGCCCAGACUCCUACGGGAGGCAGCAGUGGGGAAUAUUGCGCAAUGGGGGCAACCCUGACGCAGCCAUGCCGCGUGAAUGAAGAAGGCCUUCGGGUUGUAAAGUUCUUUCGGUAGCGAGGAAGGCACUUAGUUUAAUAAACUAAGUGAUUGACGUUAACUACAGAAGAAGCACCGGCUAACUCCGUGCCAGCAGCCGCGGUAAUACGGAGGGUGCGAGCGUUAAUCGGAAUAACUG